This is a regulatory RNA element of Enterococcus casseliflavus EC20, 236 nucleotides long. It matches the Rfam family "T-box leader". From Rfam's summary of the family: Uncharged tRNA acts as the effector for transcription antitermination of genes in the T-box leader family. T-boxes are found upstream of many aminoacyl-tRNA synthetase genes and some amino acid biosynthetic genes usually in Gram-positive bacteria. Lineage: Bacteria; Bacillati; Bacillota; Bacilli; Lactobacillales; Enterococcaceae. The record is from Rfam.
ACACAUGCAGUGAGAAGAAGAGUACGAUCCCCCCUUUCUUUCAAGAGAGCUCGGAACUGGUGGAAACGAGUAAGGAAGACGAUCCGAAGAUGACCUUUGAGCAUUCGUGGACGAACAAUCCCCGACGGAGAAAGCCCGAUAGCGCAAUGCAGUUUAUUUGAUGAACUGACUGAGGUUUUUUGUUUCAGCAAAAAACAAAUGAAGGUGGUACCGCGAAAUGAAUGAUCGUCCUUCCC